RNAcentral lists this small RNA (1341 nucleotides) under Pan troglodytes (chimpanzee). RNAcentral describes it as "retained intron". Lineage: Eukaryota; Metazoa; Chordata; Mammalia; Primates; Hominidae. The record is from RNAcentral.
CUAUGUCCCCGCACCGGGCUACCAGCCCACCUACAACCCGACGCUGCCUUACUACCAGCCCAUCCCGGGCGGGCUCAACGUGGGAAUGUCUGUUUACAUCCAAGGAGUGGCCAGCGAGCACAUGAAGCGGUUCUUCGUGAACUUUGUGGUUGGGCAGGAUCCGGGCUCAGACAUCGCCUUCCACUUCAAUCCGCGGUUUGACGGCUGGGACAAGGUGGUCUUCAACACGUUGCAGGGCGGGAAGUGGGGCAGCGAGGAGAGGAAGAGGAGCAUGCCCUUCAAAAAGGGUGCCGCCUUCGAGCUGGUCUUCAUAGUCCUGGCUGAGCACUACAAGGUGGUGGUAAAUGGAAAUCCCUUCUAUGAGUACGGGCACCGGCUUCCCCUACAGAUGGUCACCCACCUGCAAGUGGAUGGGGAUCUGCAACUUCAAUCAAUCAACUUCAUCGGAGGCCAGCCCCCCCGGCCCCAGGGACCCCCGAUGAUGCCACCUUACCCUGUAAGUACUUGCUGAUGGGUGAGGGUCUUCCCCCCUAGUGGGGUCCCUCAGCCCCUCUCACCUUUCCUGCUUUCCAUCCAUCGUUCAGGGUCCCGGACAUUGCCAUCAACAGCUGAACAGCCUGCCCGUGAGUGGGAGGGCUGGGAGGGCCCUGGGUGGGGAGUGGGAAUGGUGAGAAUUGGGGUAGGGGGAGCUAAGAGGGGUUGCAGCCCAAGGUGUACUAACCCAGCACCUAGAGAAACGCCGGAGUCUAAUGGGUGUGUCAUAGAUAUCUGUCGACUCUUGGAGAAUAAUAUCGCUUCUUCCUCACUUCACAGACCAUGGAAGGACCCCCAACCUUCAACCCGGUAUGGCUUGGGGAAACAGAGAUGGAUGGUGGGGAGGGGGCACGGAUCUCCAGGGAAUCUGAGACAGCCAGAAAGGGAGUGGGCUGAGGGUUUUGGGGUGGGAGGUAGGGGAAGGGUAGAUAGAGUUCGUGGUCAGGUUUAGGGAGCAGAAGGAAUUGGGGAUGUUUUCCAGGAGGAGUGGGACCUCUCAGAAAAUUUGUUCUUGGGCUGGACGUGGUGGCUCACGCCUGUAAUCCCAGCACUUUGGGAUGCCAAGGCGGACAGAUCACGAGGUCAGGAGAUCGAGACCAUCCUGGCCAGCAUAGUGAAACUCUGUCACUACUAAAAAUACAAAAAUUAGCUGGGCAUGGUGGCGCGCGCCUGUAAUCCCAGCUACUCAGGAAGCUGAGGCAGGAGAAUCGCUUGAACCAGGGAGUCGGAGGUUGCAGUGAGCCGGGAUCGUGCCACAGUACUCCAACCUGGUGACAGAACGAGACUCCGUCUCAAAAAAAAAAAAAA